RNAcentral lists this ribosomal RNA (368 nucleotides) under Lygodactylus petteri. RNAcentral describes it as "Lygodactylus madagascariensis petteri partial large subunit ribosomal RNA". It matches the Rfam family "Bacterial large subunit ribosomal RNA", at positions 2049 to 2597 of the family's 2925-position model. The record is from RNAcentral. Lineage: Eukaryota; Metazoa; Chordata; Lepidosauria; Squamata; Gekkonidae.
UCCUUCAGUACAAAAGCUGAAAUAUACACAUAAGACGAAAAGACCCUAUGGAGCUUUAAACCACUAUACUACUAAAACUAACCAAAACCGUGUCCCCUAGUAUAAGCUUUCAGUUGGGGCAACUACGGAGCAAAACAAAAACUCCACGACAAACGCCUAACACGCGCAAACCCCAGGCCGCCAAGCCGAACAUAUCUCGCCCAGAUCCAGUCCGACUGAGCAACGAACCAAGUUACCCUAGGGAUAACAGCGCCAUCUUCCCCCAAGAGCCCAUAUCCACGGGGAGGCUUACGACCUCGAUGUUGGAUCAGGACCCCCCGGCGGUGCAGCCGCUGCCAAAGGUUCGUUUGUUCAACGACUAACGUCCU